GUCUCCCAGAUAAUCAGCAGCACGCAGUGAGCAGUGGGACUAACUGGGUCCCUCCACCAAUCAGAAGUGGUUGGGGAUGAGUGCAUAGUGAAAAGAGCAAGAUUAAAGGAGCUAUUGUGCUGCAUACUUUCACUGCAAUUCAGGGGCCUAAAAUUAUGUAGACCACCAAGAUGGAACAGUAAAUCAGAAUUAACAAGUUUCAAUACAUGUUAAAGAAAGAGUAUCACCUCCUGAAAGGAGGAAAAAUAUUACAGAACAUGGAAUAUUAAUACAGAAUCUCUGCUUGUCUUCCUGCCCACCGUACAAACAACUGAAUCUUGGAGUCCAGGGCUUCCUGACCACACAGAAGCCAUCACAA
Molecule: long non-coding RNA, 358 nt
Organism: Gavialis gangeticus (Gharial)
Lineage: Eukaryota; Metazoa; Chordata; Crocodylia; Gavialidae
Exons: 2
Source: RefSeq, a predicted model, not a curated record